AUUGCCCCAGUAACGGCGAGUGAAGCGGCAACAGCUCAAAUUUGAAAUCUGGCCCUCGGGUCCGAGUUGUAAUUUGUAGAGGAUGCUUCUGGCGCGGCGCCUUCCGAGUUCCCUGGAACGGGACGCCUUAGAGGGUGAGAGCCCCGUACGGUUGGCGGCCAAGCCUCUGUGAAGCUCCUUCGACGAGUCGAGUAGUUUGGGAAUGCUGCUCUAAAUGGGAGGUAAAUUUCUUCUAAAGCUAAAUAUUGGCCAGAGACCGAUAGCGCACAAGUAGAGUGAUCGAAAGAUGAAAAGCACUUUGAAAAGAGGGUUAAAUAGCACGUGAAAUUGUUGAAAGGGAAGCGUUUGCGACCAGACCUCCUCCCGGCGGAUCAUCCGGCGUUCUUCGCCGGUGCACUUCGCCGGGUCGAGGCCAGCAUCGGUUCUCGCAGGGGGACAAAAGCCUAGGGAACGUAGCUCCCCCGGGAGUGUUAUAGCCCUUUGCACAAUGCCCUUGCGGGGACCGAGGACCGCGCGUUACGCAAGGAUGCUGGCGUAAUGGUCGUCAACGACCCGUCUUGAAACACGGACCAAGGAGUCGAACAUUUGUGCGAGUGUUUGGGUGUUAAACCCUCACGCGUAAUGAAAGUGAACGGAGGUGAGAGCCCUUGCGGGUGCAUCAUCGACCGAUCCUGAUGUCUUCGGAUGGAUUUGAGUAAGAGCAUAACUGUUCGGACCCGAAAGAUGGUGAACUAUGCGUGGAUAGGGUGAAGCCAGAGGAAACUCUGGUGGAGGCUCGCAGCGGUUCUGACGUGCAAAUCGAUCGUCCAAUCUGC
RNAcentral lists this ribosomal RNA (815 nucleotides) under Nemania maritima. RNAcentral's name for it is "partial large subunit ribosomal RNA". It matches the Rfam family "Eukaryotic large subunit ribosomal RNA", at positions 74 to 914 of the family's 3401-position model. Lineage: Eukaryota; Fungi; Ascomycota; Sordariomycetes; Xylariales; Xylariaceae. The record is from RNAcentral.